Perca flavescens (yellow perch) is the source of this 3677-nucleotide RNA transcript. It is a transcript of the gene named ORMDL sphingolipid biosynthesis regulator 3, with no coding region annotated. The record is from RefSeq and is a predicted model, not a curated record. The transcript has 5 exons. Lineage: Eukaryota; Metazoa; Chordata; Actinopteri; Perciformes; Percidae.
AACGGGGCCGUGGAAACGAAUAGCGGUGACGUUACAUCAUGAAGUGUGCUGUGUUGUCACCAGCUGUUGUCUGAAGACGAAGAAAAAGUGGAUGUGUCGAUUGAUUGUAAGCCGACACGAGCCGACCGGCAGCGCUUAGAAGCACGUCUGGAGCCGAGAGAUGGUACCGGAUGACUGAUGGAAAAACCGGAGCCUCGCCAGUCGCCCGGUGGUAGUACACGUUACAUAACUGAAGGCAUCGAUAAGACAAAAACUGUGAUAACGGACUAAUACAGGUCGGAGUUGAAGCCAUUUUUCUCUGCCCAGACAGUCCGUCACGCCAGCCGACGUUCAUAGUAAGACCGUUUCCACGUUGUGCUUUGAAGAAGACCGCCGUCAUGAACGUGGGCACGGCGCACAGCGAGGUGAACCCCAACACCCGAGUGAUGAACAGCAGAGGGAUGUGGCUGUCUUACAUCCUGGGCAUCGGCCUCCUGCACGUCAUCCUGCUCAGCAUUCCCUUCGCCAGCGUGCCCGUGGUCUGGACCCUCACCAACCUCAUUCACAAUCUGUGCAUGUACCUCCUACUUCACACGGUCAAAGGGACUCCCUUCGAGACCCCAGAUCAGGGCAAGGCUCGUCUGCUUACACACUGGGAGCAAAUGGACUAUGGUGUGCAGUUCACUGCUUCACGCAAGUUCCUCACCAUCACACCCAUUGUUCUGUAUAUACUAACCAGCUUCUACACCAAAUACGAUCGGGUCCAUUUUGUGGUCAACACCGUUUCCCUGCUCACUGUACUCAUCCCCAAGCUGCCCCAGCUGCACGGCGUGAGGAUCUUUGGGAUUAAUAAGUACUGACAAGGCGGAAGAGGACACCUCCUUCCUUUAGAAGUCCCCGUAGACUGCUGAGAGCAGUAUCAGGCCUCUGAUUUGGCUACAGAUCCACAAAGAUCCGCGGCUCUCUGGCUCUAGUCUCUGCUGAGCAGCACUCUAAAUGAGGCCUGCUGGGGAUACUGCCAUGGUACCAAACCCCAGGUUUACAGAGCACACAAAGGGAAAGUGUGCUGUUUUGAAUGUUUGUGGCCUAUCUCCUUUGAGACACUUAAAAGCUUAAAAGGGAGUAUUAUGAUGAUGUCCAUUUCUGCAGGAAUGACAAUUGUGUGAUAUGACAGGUGUCAGGGGAAGAGGACAAUGUGUUGGCACAAAUUACAUGUGCCGUUUUACACCCACUGGCACACUGAGGCCGUCGUCGAAAGUUAUUUUGUAUGUAAUGAUACACUGCUGUAUUUAGUCAGCUGCUUCCUCUUUCUCAAGGUUCCUGGGCAGAGAGAAGAGUAACAAUACUUUAAUAAUAUGGUAAGGGAACUGCUGCAGAGGCGAGACAGGACAAACCACAAGGUUUUAUAUUUAGCCCUCGCUGUUCCGCUCAGGGCCAAGAUUGGGAAGUUAAGCAACUCUUAUUUUUAUCUGACCAUUUCCAUGUUUGGACUCGUCUUGUCCUGGUUUGUGUCACAGAAAGCCUCCUGUCUGCAGAGUCGUCAGGCCUGUGAGCACUCUACUGAUUCAACAUACUAUACAUGUAAGUCCUGCAAUAUGAGUUAAGAGAUAAGUAUUUCUAUUAAUAGUUACAUUCUGGGGACUCAUGCCUGGCACUAGAAGUACUUAGGAAUUAGCAUAAGCCUUAGUUUAGAGCCACAUUACACAUUACACACUGAGUUAUUAGUUUAUUAGGUAAGCUUGUGCAGUCUAAUGCAAUCCAAUAUAGUAGCCUUGCAGUAACUCCUGAAAUACUCAAAGUUGUUUUUAAGGUUCCCCCAAUUCCCACUCCCCAAUCACUUAUGAAAGGGGCAGAAUAUUAGAAACAUUAGCUCGAAAUCCUGAUCUUUCAAGAACAUCAAGUUCUCUCUCUUCAGCCUGUCAAAAUCCUUUUUUAGCAUCCAAGGAAAUGACAGUUAUUCUGUAGUAUGUAAGUGCUAAAGGGAUUCUGGGUUAUGUUACAAAGCUGCUUCGUAUUCGAGCAAAUAUGUUACUGUUCAUUACAGAUGUUUAGGGAACUUUUUUGUUUUACAUAUUGCCAGUCUAAUGCAUGUGUAUGAUCUUUUUUUUUUAAGCAGUGGAAGGCAGACAUGUCCAUGAUCCAUUUCACCAUGGCAGUUGAUGUGAAGUACUGUUAGCAAACAUCAAAUCUAAAAUGUAAUCCAUGGGCUUUACUUCAACAUUGCAAGCUGAUACAGGUACCAUACAAAGGGCGCUCUGUUACGCAACACCGGAGGAUUGUUAAACAUCGAUUAAGUGAAAGUAAUAAUGAGGUAUUAGAGUUAAUUUAACAGGAUAUCAUGUUGGAUUAGUGUUCUGAAACACAAAGAUCUGGCACCCUGAUGUAAAAAAAUAAUAUUUGUGUAGAAUUGUGUUGAAGAUCGAGGUGUAACAUUAUUUUUUCAGUUUUGUAUGCAAUUCUGUUUUCAUGAGUCAAGACUUUUACAGGUUGGUCUAAUUGAUUUUUGAAAUGUUCCUAGUGAAAAAGGUUAAAAUCAUCAUUUCAUGUAUACAAACCAGACCGGUAAAUAGAAUCAGAUGGAAGUACAGGAAUAAGUUAAACGGUAUACCAUGUUAUUAAAUACAAAUAGCCAAAAUGUCCUUCCGUCUGUCUGUCGCUGACAUCGCAGUUUUCCUACAUCACAUGCUGAAAUACACUGCUGAAAUACACUUAAAUAUGUUUUUCUUUAAAGAUUAUGUUAUUACCAGCCUUGUUUAGCCAUAAAUGAUACAUUUAUCAGUAUUACAAGUGCAAGUAUAUGUACUACGGUGGUGCACAACUCUUCUUAAAGCCACCUUGCUUCCUGUUUAUGUUAAGAUAGCAGAUGCUUUGUCUAGGAGAAAUUCUUUUUGCGAAGUCGUUGCUAAUCUGCUGCUAAAUCUGCUGCGGUCUCAUCUGAGUUGCACUCACUCCUGAUGUAUAUCUCAACCCUGCGGUCUGUGGUGCAGACACCUUGUGAUUAACACAGUGUCUGAGAACUUUUGCAAGGGAUAUAUAGUUGAUACAACAUAGGCAAGUCAUACAAAACAACCCAUGCAGCGCUUCCUGUCCCGUAUAGCUGAGGACAGGCACAGAGAAUCGCUGGGACAGCCACCCCGACUCCUCCGGUCUGAACCUGGCGUAGGCCAUGGCUCAAUCUCCAAUGUUUGUCAUCUAGACGCGCACUGCUCUUUUACCGGUCAACCUGCGCUAGAUGCUAGAAUGUAGUCACCGAACAAGUCUCAACCAAGCAACGAGCAAUGUGGGUGCGGCCAGGCCAAAUCCAGAAUUCCAGAAAGGUUAGAUGUGCUUCCAGCCCUUUUCAGACCAUGUUAGACAAAAAUCAUGAUCAUAACGGAGCAGUUUACAUACUUUAAAAUGUGUCUGGAGUGGGACUUUAAGUUGUCAUGCCACUGCCCAAUGUGAUAGUUUCUCUUCUUUUUGGUGUUAGCCUACUCCUGUUCUAGUUUGAUCUGAUUAAAGACAUGUUGAAAGAUGAACCAGUGAAAGGAACUGGGGAUGAGGAUGGGUGGAGGAAUGUUUUUGUUUUGGUUUAAUCUGCUCAACUCAUUAAAUGUAACGUCAUGGUGUGUGGGAAUGCUAUGUGUGUGCAUGAGAGAGAAUCUUAGUAUUUUUCUUUAAUACUUUACCUUAUGAAAUAAACAUGCUUGAGUCUUGUA